RNAcentral lists this ribosomal RNA (638 nucleotides) under uncultured Actinomycetes bacterium. RNAcentral's name for it is "bacterial SSU rRNA". It matches the Rfam family "Bacterial small subunit ribosomal RNA", at positions 232 to 885 of the family's 1533-position model. Lineage: Bacteria; Bacillati; Actinomycetota; Actinomycetes. The record is from RNAcentral.
CGCGGCCUAUCAGCUUGUUGGUGAGGUAACGGCUCACCAAGGCAUCGACGGGUAGCUGGUCUGAGAGGACGAUCAGCCACACUGGGACUGAGACACGGCCCAGACUCCUACGGGAGGCAGCAGUAGGGAAUCUUGCGCAAUGGGCGAAAGCCUGACGCAGCAACGCCGCGUGGGGGAUGAAUGCCUUCGGGUUGUAAACCCCUUUCAGCAGGGACGAAAAUGACGGUACCUGCAGAAAAAGCACCGGCUAACUACGUGCCAGCAGCCGCGGUAAUACGUAGGGUGCAAGCGUUGUCCGGAAUUAUUGGGCGUAAAGAGCUCGUAGGCGGUUUGUCGCGUCUGCUGUGAAAAUCCGAGGCUCAACCUCGGACCUGCAGUGGGUACGGGCAAACUAGAGUGCGGUAGGGGAGAUUGGAAUUCCUGGUGUAGCGGUGGAAUGCGCAGAUAUCAGGAGGAACACCAAUGGCGAAGGCCGAUCUCUGGGCCGUAACUGACGCUGAGGAGCGAAAGCGUGGGGAGCGAACAGGAUUAGAUACCCUGGUAGUCCACGCCGUAAACGGUGGGAACUAGAUGUGGGGUCCGUUCCACGGAUUCCGUGUCGCAGCUAACGCAUUAAGUUCCCCGCCUGGGGAGUACGG